CUCAUUUCUAAAUCAUUUUUUUUCUCAUUUUCUUCACAAAAGGUGCACACACUGGCAAGAGAGCUCUACUGGAGUCUUUGUAGUCAAUAGACCUGUUUGUUGAAGAAUUACUACCCUAAACUUGCAUGUUAAGCAGUUUUCAGAAAACCUGGAGAAAAGUCUCGUGGCUUUGGGGAAACAAGACAAAUACCUACAGUGUUCAUGGCAUAUGAAAGCUUAUUGUCUAGAUUUAAAAUGCUUCCAACAAGCUUAUUCAUCCUUUCACCCCC
RNAcentral lists this long non-coding RNA (269 nucleotides) under Fukomys damarensis (Damara mole-rat). Its description in RNAcentral is "lncRNA (ENSFDAG00000026596.1)". The record is from RNAcentral. Lineage: Eukaryota; Metazoa; Chordata; Mammalia; Rodentia; Bathyergidae.